CGCGGCCUAUCAGCUUGUUGGCGGGGUAACGGCCCACCAAGGCAUCGACGGGUAGCUGGUCUGAGAGGACGAUCAGCCACACUGGGACUGAGACACGGCCCAGACUCCUACGGGAGGCAGCAGUGGGGAAUCUUGCGCAAUGGGCGAAAGCCUGACGCAGCAACGCCGCGUGGGGGACGAAGGCUCUCGGGUUGUAAACCCCUUUCAGGAGGGACGAAAUUGACGGUACCUCCAGAAGAAGCCCCGGCCAACUACGUGCCAGCAGCCGCGGUAACACGUAGGGGGCGAGCGUUGUCCGGAUUUAUUGGGCGUAAAGAGCUCGUAGGUGGCUCGGUAAGUCGGGUGUGAAAUUUCGAGGCUCAACCUCGAGACGCCACCUGAUACUGCUGUGGCUAGAGUCCGGUAGGGGAGCGUGGAAUUCCUGGUGUAGCGGUGAAAUGCGCAGAUAUCAGGAGGAACACCAGCGGCGAAGGCGGCGCUCUGGGCCGGUACUGACACUGAGGAGCGAAAGCGUGGGGAUCAAACAGGAUUAGAUACCCUGGUAGUCCACGCCGUAAACGUUGGGCACUAGGUGUGGGGUUCUAUCAACGGACUCCGUGCCGAAGCUAACGCAUUAAGUGCCCCGCCUGGGGAGUACGGA
Molecule: ribosomal RNA, 640 nt
Filed under: uncultured Actinomycetes bacterium
Lineage: Bacteria; Bacillati; Actinomycetota; Actinomycetes
Description: bacterial SSU rRNA
Rfam family: Bacterial small subunit ribosomal RNA
Source: RNAcentral